AACGCGAAGAACCUUACCAAGGUUUGACAUCCUGCGAAGGUCUCUGAAAGGAGACUGUGCCUUCGGGAACGCAGUGACAGGUGAUGCAUGGCCGUCGUCAGCUCGUGUCGUGAGAUGUUUGGUUAAGUCCAUUAACGAGCGCAACCCUUAUAGUUAGUUGCUUUUUCUAGCUAGACUGCCCUGGUAACAGGGAGGAAGGAGGGGAUGAUGUCAGGUCAGUAUUUCCCUUACACCUUGGGCUACAAACACGCUACAAUGGCCGGUACAAAGGGCUGCCAAGUCGCGAGACGGAGCAAAUCCCAUCAAAGCCGGUCUCAGUUCGGAUUGUAGGCUGAAACUCGCCUGCAUGAAGAUGGAAUCGCUAGUAACGGUAGGUCAGCAUUACUACCGUGAAUACGUUCCCGGGCCUUGUACACACCGCGUGUCU
This 427-nucleotide ribosomal RNA is filed under the name uncultured bacterium. RNAcentral describes it as "bacterial SSU rRNA". It matches the Rfam family "Bacterial small subunit ribosomal RNA", at positions 958 to 1399 of the family's 1533-position model. The record is from RNAcentral.